Molecule: ribosomal RNA, 481 nt
Filed under: uncultured bacterium
Lineage: Bacteria
Description: bacterial SSU rRNA
Rfam family: Bacterial small subunit ribosomal RNA
Source: RNAcentral
CUACGUGCCAGCAGCCGCGGUAAUACGUAUGUCACGAGCGUUAUCCGGAUUUAUUGGGCGUAAAGCGCGUCUAGGUGGUUAUGUAAGUCUGAUGUGAAAAUGCAGGGCUCAACUCUGUAUUGCGUUGGAAACUGUAUAACUAGAGUACUGGAGAGGUAAGCGGAACUACAAGUGUAGAGGUGAAAUUCGUAGAUAUUUGUAGGAAUGCCGAUGGGGAAGCCAGCUUACUGGACAGAUACUGACGCUGAAGCGCGAAAGCGUGGGUAGCAAACAGGAUUAGAUACCCUGGUAGUCCACGCCGUAAACGAUGAUUACUAGGUGUUGGGGGUCGAACCUCAGCGCCCAAGCAAACGCGAUAAGUAAUCCGCCUGGGGAGUACGUACGCAAGUAUGAAACUCAAAGGAAUUGACGGGGACCCGCACAAGCGGUGGAGCAUGUGGUUUAAUUCGACGCAACGCGAGGAACCUUACCAGCGUUUGAC